GUUGUUGAAUAGAUGGUGAAAUCCAACAGCACAUUGAAGAAUUCCAUGGAUUAAGGUACGAGUUGGUUCCUCUGCUUGAAUCCAAAGAGCUUCAAGCGCGUCAUGACUUUUGUAAUAAUCCCUCUUGUUGAAGAGAGUCACUGCUUCCUCAAAGCUCCAAUAUUCUUCCUUAUCCUCGUCACUAUCCUCUUCGUCUUCUCCGGCGUGGUCGUUGUAUCUGACGAUUGAUCUUCGACUGAAACGGACGCGUAUGGAGCUAAAUUUUGUGG
Long non-coding RNA from Arabidopsis thaliana (thale cress), 269 nucleotides. RefSeq annotates it as other RNA. The record is from RefSeq. Lineage: Eukaryota; Viridiplantae; Streptophyta; Magnoliopsida; Brassicales; Brassicaceae. The transcript has a single exon.